This 929-nucleotide long non-coding RNA is filed under the name Olea europaea (common olive). Its description in RNAcentral is "long non-coding RNA (OEUR_LNC009375)". Lineage: Eukaryota; Viridiplantae; Streptophyta; Magnoliopsida; Lamiales; Oleaceae. The record is from RNAcentral.
UUACAAUUUGGUCCUUGACUUUACAAUUUUGACAAAUAUGUCCUUUGGUCACAGAUUGCCAAUUACACAUUUUCCUAACAAACUCCCCCUUUGGCAUUCUGUGACAAAAAUACAUAUGACAGUCAAGGACAUAAAUAAAAAUGACUCCAAACAACCUAUCUAUUCAACCAAAGCAGCUAUCUCUUGUUGAACCUGUUUCCUGAAAAUCAAAAACUCAAAUACCAAGUGUAAAAGCGUGUGAAAUGGAAACAGUAAAUAAAAACAAGAAAUAGAUCAUACGUCAUUAACCAGAUUAAGAAGCAAUAAUAAUGUAAGUCAAAAACACCAAAAACAUACAUUAAUAUUGCCAAAACAUCAAAAACUUAGUCUAGUCAUGAAUUAUAUACACAUCAUCUUUAUAUCACAAUUACCAAAAAAUCGAUAUCUAUCUAUCCAACUCUAUCCAAAAUAUCUACUCCCCCUUUUUGUCACGAAGGACAAAGGAUAAAAAACAAUCAACUAACUAACUACGAGGCAGCACUUCCAGCAUCCGAAGACUCAGCACCGCUCUUGCCACUCGUGCUUUCCUCGAUACUAUCAUGAACCCAGCGCAAAUGUCACUGACACACGGCAAGAGCACGGCGAAAAGUAGAAAGCUCAGCUGACUGACGCUCCGAAGCAGCACGUAACUGCGUGAUCUCAGCCAUCAUACGAGCCUGCUGCUCGACCAGUGUAGACAUCUGUCCCAUAAGCGUCACCAUAGGGUCAACGGGCAAAGCAGCCACCCCAAGAGCAGAAGUAGAUGUCGAAGGAAAGGUAGAGCUAAGCGGAAUAGCUAAAGGAGGAUCGGAACGAGAAGGAAGAAAGACACGAGAACCCCCAGUAAGAAUAUCAGUAAUAGGAUCAAGGGGCUCCGAAAAAUUAAAGACAUCAACAGGCUCAGCCUGAGC